GAUGAAGAACGUAGCGAAAUGCGAUACUUGGUGUGAAUUGCAGAAUCCCGUGAACCAUCGAGUCUUUGAACGCAAGUUGCGCCUCAAGCCAUUAGGUUGAGGGCACGUCUGCCUGGGCGUCACAUAUCGUUGCCUGAUGCCAGUUUCCUCGUGAUGGGUGACUGUGCAGGGCGAAUGAUGGCUUCCCGUGAGCAUUGUUGCCUCAUGGUUGGUUGAAAAUUGAGUCCUUGGUAGGGAGCGCCGUGAUAGAUGGUGGUUGAGUGACGAACGAGACCCAAUCAUGUGAGACCCCUACCGAAUUUGGCCUUCAUGACCCACAUGCGUCUUUGGAACGCUCAUGACGAGACCUCAAGUCAGGCGGGGCUACCCGCUGAGUUUAAGCAUAUCAAUAAGCGGAGGA
RNAcentral lists this unclassified non-coding RNA (400 nucleotides) under soil metagenome. RNAcentral's name for it is "partial contains 5.8S ribosomal RNA, internal transcribed spacer 2, and large subunit ribosomal RNA". The stretch from base 1 to 122 matches the Rfam family "5.8S ribosomal RNA", at positions 35 to 154 of the family's 154-position model. The record is from RNAcentral.